RNAcentral lists this ribosomal RNA (189 nucleotides) under uncultured bacterium. Its description in RNAcentral is "partial 16S ribosomal RNA". It matches the Rfam family "Bacterial small subunit ribosomal RNA", at positions 338 to 524 of the family's 1533-position model. The record is from RNAcentral.
CCUACGGGAGGCAGCAGUGAGGAAUAUUGGUCAAUGGAGGAAACUCUGAACCAGCCAUGCCGCGUGCGGGAGGAAGGCCCUACGGGUUGUAAACCGCUUUUACGGGGGAGCAAUAAGCGCCGUGCGCGGCGCGAUGAGAGUACCCCGGGAAUAAGCAUCGGCUAACUCCGUGCCAGCAGCCGCGGUAAU